GAUUCAGGGUAUGAUAGAAUGAUGAUAUCAGAGUUUAAAUUAAAGAUCAUAAGAACUUAGAUUAGUGAGAAUGGGGUAGAAUUAGGAUCUUACUUGAUUAUCUCAAAAUAAUUAUGGGCAUCUAGAGUUGAUUUAAUUAUUAUAUAAUGUUUAAGUUUUUCUUAUGGAUAUAAAUUAUAAUCCUUUGGGUUAUAGUAUAGAAGAUC
RNAcentral lists this long non-coding RNA (206 nucleotides) under Elaeis guineensis (African oil palm). RNAcentral's name for it is "long non-coding RNA (EGUI_LNC075463)". The record is from RNAcentral. Lineage: Eukaryota; Viridiplantae; Streptophyta; Magnoliopsida; Arecales; Arecaceae.